RNAcentral lists this long non-coding RNA (741 nucleotides) under Marmota monax (woodchuck). The record is from RNAcentral. Lineage: Eukaryota; Metazoa; Chordata; Mammalia; Rodentia; Sciuridae.
GGAGGGAAAGGGAGGGAGAAGGGGAAUAGCAUGGAUGGUGGAAGGAGACCCUCAUCAUUAUACAAAAUAGAUGUAUGAAGAUGUCAAUUUGGUGUCAACAUACCUUAUAUACAAACAGAGAUAUGAUAAAUUGUGGUAUCAAGGUGAUUUUAAGAAUUGUAAUGCAAAAAAAUAAUAAGAGAAAAAAAUAUAAAAAAUAUAGAAUGAGUGAAUAGCAGUAAUUUUAGAGAACAUGAAAUUCAUCAAGGGACAAUAUGAAAAAAUGGAAUACAAUAUUAGGUAUUAUAUGCUCUUUUUGCUCAAUCAAUUAAUGGAAUAGAGGGGUUGUUUGUAACCCAAGUAGUAUCCAUUGCAGGUAGAAUUAAAGAAUAGGGAUACUAUCCUCAAAUGACCCACUAAUGUGUAAGUUCUGUGAGAAAGAUAUUUGAAUGUAUCCAUGUGUUCCAUGUAUCCAAAAGCAUAGGACAGUGCCAUAACACCCAACUAAUUUGUCCUGCCUGGACCAGCCUCAUUUCUAGGGUAUCUCUCUGAGCUCUGCUCAGUUUAGCAUUAACCUAUCUCCAUCUGUGGAAAUUAAAAAUGCCUCUUACAAUUUAAUAGGCAUUCAGUAAGCUAAUGAGAAGAAAUGUUUUAUUUUCUCCUCAACAGAAAGCAAAUAAUUACCAUAGUAUUAUAUUUAGCUAAGAUUUUCAUUACUUCAGUGUAGGAAUUUCCUCCAUUUUAAAAGUAAAAGCACAAGUG